UAUGCCGCGUGUGUGAAGAAGGCCUUCGGGUUGUAAAGCACUUUUGUCAGGAACGAAACGUGGGGGCUAAUAUCCUCUGCUAAUGACGGUACCUGAAGAAUAAGCACCGGCUAACUACGUGCCAGCAGCCGCGGUAAUACGUAGGGUGCGAGCGUUAAUCGGAAUUACUGGGCGUAAAGCGUGCGCAGGCGGUUGUGCAAGACAGAUGUGAAAUCCCCGGGCUUAACCUGGGAAUUGCAUUUGUGACUGCACGGCUAGAGUGUGUCAGAGGGGGGUAGAAUUCCACGUGUAGCAGUGAAAUGCGUAGAUAUGUGGAGGAAUACCGAUGGCGAAGGCAGCCCCCUGGGAUAACACUGACGCUCAUGCACGAAAGCGUGGGGAGCAAACAGGAUUAGAUACCCUGGUAGUCCACGCCCUAAACGAUGUCUACUAGUUGUCGGGUCUUAAUUGACUUGGUAACGCAGCUAACGCAUGAAGUAGACCGCCUGGGGAGUACGGUCGCAAGAUUAAAACUCAAAGGAAUUGACGGGGACCCGCACAAGCGGUGGAUGAUGUGGAUUAAUUCGAUGCCACGCGAAAGAACUUACCUACCCUUGACAUUGUACGGAAUCCUGCUGAGAGGUGGGGGUGCUCGAAGAGAGCCGUACAC
Molecule: ribosomal RNA, 649 nt
Filed under: uncultured bacterium
Lineage: Bacteria
Description: bacterial SSU rRNA
Rfam family: Bacterial small subunit ribosomal RNA
Source: RNAcentral